UGCAGUAGUCCUUGUGACUAUGUUACUCAUAGCUUGUGUUACACCGGAGCCUGAUUCAGGUGAAGAUCAAUGGAAAUCUCUGGGAAAUCCACAGAACAGAAAUCUGUUUUACAAAAUUCUCCAGUCCUACUUUAAUGGAAGAGGCAUUAACUUGGUUGGCAUGGGGAGAAAAGACAAACUGCUCGGCAAUCUGGGAGGGAAAACAAGCUCCAGCUAUGACAGAUACAGGCAGAAGCUGGAGGACAACGACAGUUUUUAUGUGUGAAAAUGUAACUUCAUCAAUUUAAAACAAUCACUCUGUUAUUUUUGUAACUAAGCUGCAAUUUCAAUUUUGAAAACCCUUUGUUGAAUACUUUCAGGCUUGGUAUUUGUAACUACUAAAAUAAAAAUGUGUUUUAAUGUUUGUCUGUUAAAAUUUGACAACAAAUAUAUAGGCUUUUUGAGACUAAAUAAUUACUAUGGUAACCUUAAAUAUAAACACAAGACAUAGAACCAUACUGAUAUAUAGUACCAAUGUGUAUUAUGUCACAAAAAUGAUACAGUUAUUUGAAAAAUAUUGAAAUACCUAUAGAAUGACACAGCUGGAUUGCAAGCAUGCACUAAUGGGUUGCUAAUCUGUUUUUUAGUUGUUUUUUUUUUAAGUUGUUCCAAUCAAAUAAUGUGAUUCUUUGGAUAAUCCUAUUAUGCGGCAAACAGUUUUCAACAAUUUCACAAUACAAGGUUAAGUUGGCACCUAUGCCAAUCGCUGUUCUCUGUCUAUAUAUGUAUAUUUAUGUUAUCCUGUAUACCACCAUUCAUUCUUGGCCUAAGACAUGCAGCAUUAGUCAGAAUGCAAAGUGUAAUUAUAAUAAUAAAAUAUUUCAUCACAAA
Molecule: long non-coding RNA, 870 nt
Organism: Polyodon spathula (Mississippi paddlefish)
Lineage: Eukaryota; Metazoa; Chordata; Actinopteri; Acipenseriformes; Polyodontidae
Exons: 2
Source: RefSeq, a predicted model, not a curated record